CCUCGUUAACUCAGUUGGUAGAGUAACGGUCUUUUAAACCGUGAGUGGUGUGUUCGAUUCACACACGAGGUAC
RNAcentral lists this transfer RNA (73 nucleotides) under Pectobacterium phage vB_PcaM_CBB. RNAcentral describes it as "Pectinobacterium phage vB_PcaM_CBB tRNA-Lys". It matches the Rfam family "tRNA". From Rfam's summary of the family: Transfer RNA (tRNA) molecules are approximately 80 nucleotides in length. Lineage: Duplodnaviria; Heunggongvirae; Uroviricota; Caudoviricetes. The record is from RNAcentral.